RNAcentral lists this ribosomal RNA (482 nucleotides) under uncultured bacterium. RNAcentral's name for it is "partial 16S ribosomal RNA". It matches the Rfam family "Bacterial small subunit ribosomal RNA", at positions 30 to 507 of the family's 1533-position model. The record is from RNAcentral.
AUUGAACGCUGGCGGCAUGCUUUACACAUGCAAGUCGAACGGUAACAGCACUUCGGUGGCUGACGAGUGGCGAACGGGUGAGUAAUACAUCGGAACGUGCCUAGUAGUGGGGGAUAACUACUCGAAAGAGUAGCUAAUACCGCAUGAGAUCUAAGGAUGAAAGCAGGGGACCUUCGGGCCUGGCGCUACUAGAGCGGCUGAUGGCAGAUUAGGUAGUUGGUGGGAUAAAAGCUUACCAAGCCGACGAUCUGUAGCUGGUCUGAGAGGACGACCAGCCACACUGGGACUGAGACACGGCCCAGACUCCUACGGGAGGCAGCAGUGGGGAAUUUUGGACAAUGGGCGCAAGCCUGAUCCAGCAAUGCCGCGUGCAGGAUGAAGGCCUUCGGGUUGUAAACUGCUUUUGUACGGAACGAAAAGCCCUCUUCUAAUACAGGAGGGUCAUGACGGUACCGUAAGAAUAAGCACCGGCUAACUACGUG